GGUGUUUUAUAUAUAUGAUUGAAAAAUUUGAAUCUCGGUAAAAUAAAAAUUUCUAUAUUAAUUUUAGUUUUCUCGUUCAUUAACACUUUAAUUUUUUGCUUAAUAAUUUUUGUUAAGUUUGAAAUUUCUACACUUGUUCUGAAACGCAUUGUCCCCCAUUUUUUCUAAAAAGCAUUUUUUCCAAAAAAACAUUUUUACAAAUCAAAUUUUUUCCGAAUCAAAAUUUAAUUAAUAUAUUUUUCGGCUUCUAAUUUGUUAACAGCUCCUUUACUUUUAUUUACUUUUUGCAAUUUUAACCACAUAAGUUGUUUUUGUCCUUUUCUUAUUCUUUGAAAGCUUGCUGAAACAAAAAGAAUGAAAUUUAUAUCAGCUCCAUUUGAAACUUGUGCCUGCGAAAUGCUAGCUCUAAUUUAACGACGUCGUGCCUCAAGAUGGCUUUAUGAUAAAUCGAAACAUUUGUAGCACCGAAUUCAAUCAAUAACUUUUAAUAUUUCUUCAUCAUAACCAUCUUGACUAUAUGAUGAACUUGAAGAAAUCACUAUUACUGCUAUUACUUACCUAAUCCAUUCAUCAGAAACAUCUAUUAAAAACUUCCUGUACUCGUAAUGCUACAUGAGCGGGAAUUCCAUCAUAUUUAAAUAUAUUGUUGUACAUAAUAAGUCAUCUUAGAACUACAGCCGUUGAAGAGCCUGUAGACAGUAUGGAUAUAAGUAGUACCUUUGAAGACAGGACUGGAUGUGACGUCUAUUACUUAACAACAACAGUGUAGAAGUCGAUGUUCAAACUACGGUGUUUAUGACUUUUUUAUGAUCUGCAUGAAUCGUUCUCUAUACAUAUAAACGCUCCUCAUACAAACCUUUUGAAAGUUUCAAUAGUUAACAAAUUAUGUUAGUUAAUAAGUAAGUUAAUAAAUUAUGCGAAUCAAAUACAUAACUUCAAACUGA
This is a non-coding RNA of Onthophagus taurus, 944 nucleotides long. NCBI's taxonomy places the organism in Eukaryota, Metazoa, Arthropoda, Insecta, Coleoptera, Scarabaeidae. The record is from RefSeq and is a predicted model, not a curated record.